AUUCUUGAUCCAUAUGUGGGUGUUACUGGAUGUAAUGUGUCAUGUUAUGUGUUAAUGCCUGAAUCAUACUUGGACAUUCAUGGCUUCAUCUUAUAGUUCAUGAUUCUUAUGACAUAAAUAUUGCCUAAGAUGCUUGUGAAAUACAGCAGGGAUCCAGCCUUAGAAAUUAUGAUUCAAAAUUUACCAAAUUCUACCAUGUUCCUGUGUGGAUAUAUCCCAAUGAAUCCUGAUUUUUAUCUGUUCGUAAAAUUAUAAUUCACUGAUUAGAAUGAUAAUAGUAGUAAUGGAGGGAGAUCAGUAGAAUAGAUUGAGCAGAUCAAGGGAGGGAAGAGGGGAUGGGAAGGGAAGGUACUGGGGAGUGAGUUUGAUCAAACUGUGUUAUGUGCAUCCAUGAAUAUGGCAUGAUGGCUCUCACUAUUACGUAUAAUUUUAAUGUACCAAUAAAAUGUAGGCAAAAAUAGUUCUUGUAAGUGCUGGGAAUGAAUAAAAUAUGAAAUAAAACAGAGAAAUUAUGAUUUGAAAGUCUUUGGGGUGAGAUAUAUAAACCUACAUUUUAACAAACUCCCCAGCAAAUUCUUGGGAAGGCAGUCUAUAUACUUUCAGAAUCACCACUUUGCAUCAUUGAGUAGUUGGGACUUUAUGAAUGAAAAGCAUUACUUCAGUCAGGGAAUGAAACUUUUUUUCCUGUUUCACAGUAGCUUUAGUACAUAGAAAUCAGUUAUAAAAUGGUGCUCUGUCACAGGAAAGGAGAAUAAAGAAUGUAAGACACGUAAUGUUAUAGGUAGAAAUUUGAACAAUUUUAUCUAAUUAGUUCAGAUAAAAUUGUUCAGUCAAAUGAUAUGGCUAACUGUGUUGUCAAAUGUGUGAAGGUAGAUAUUCGACUCUUGUGACCCUUCUGAUUGAAAUAAACACAUUUUUCUUGUUUUGUCCCUGUUUUAUUUGGACCCUCAAUGAACUGGAGGAUGGACCCUUUCAAUGAGAGCAAUCUUCCU
RNAcentral lists this long non-coding RNA (992 nucleotides) under Marmota monax (woodchuck). The record is from RNAcentral. Lineage: Eukaryota; Metazoa; Chordata; Mammalia; Rodentia; Sciuridae.